This 69-nucleotide transfer RNA is filed under the name Holothuria fuscogilva. RNAcentral describes it as "tRNA-Gly". It matches the Rfam family "tRNA". From Rfam's summary of the family: Transfer RNA (tRNA) molecules are approximately 80 nucleotides in length. Their secondary structure includes four short double-helical elements and three loops (D, anti-codon, and T loops). Further hydrogen bonds mediate the characteristic L-shaped molecular structure. tRNAs have two regions of fundamental functional importance: the anti-codon, which is responsible for specific mRNA codon recognition, and the 3' end, to which the tRNAs corresponding amino acid is attached (by aminoacyl-tRNA synthetases). tRNAs cope with the degeneracy of the genetic code in two manners: having more than one tRNA (with a specific anti-codon) for a particular amino acid; and 'wobble' base-pairing, i.e. permitting non-standard base-pairing at the 3rd anti-codon position. The record is from RNAcentral. Lineage: Eukaryota; Metazoa; Echinodermata; Holothuroidea; Aspidochirotida; Holothuriidae.
ACGCUAUAAGUAUAGAAAAUACACCUGACUUCCAAUUAGGAGACCGCAGAAUAAAACCGCGAUAGCGUA